UGCGUGUGCGUGUGCGUGUGCGUGUGCGUGUGCGUGUGCGUGUGCGUGUGCGUGUGCGUGUGCGUGUGCGUGUGCGUGUGCGUGUGCGUGUGCGAGAAGGCUACAAGUACCUGACCAGGCCUGACGGUGUGUGUGCGUGUGCGUGUGUGUGCGUAUGUGUGUGUGUGUAUGUGUGUGUAUGCGUGUGUGUGCGUGUUGCACCCAGCAGGGCGACGACAUUCUCACUAUUGGAUAGAUGCGAUGCAGAGCGUGGCUGGAUGGCUUGAUAGACGUUGAGACGUUGAGUGAAUGGCUUAGCAGAAAUAGUGCACUCAGACGUCCAUGCGUGUGGAUAACAUGAGUGGUAAGGACAGCAUACACACAGUGGCAGGUGGCAGGUGGCUGGCAGAAGUUAAGGCCUGACUGCUGCUCCCGGAGGUUCCGGCUUCAAAUCCUGCCGACCCAUCGAUGUGUGCGGGGUGAUGAUUUGGGAGGUGGUCCCCCAUCUUGAGGAGGGUAUAGGACGCGAUUGUAUCAAUUUGCGAGCUGGUCAGUUACUGAGUUGUGGCGCCGUUGAUACGCUAGUUUUAAUUGGAUGGUGGUGGUGAGUUGCUCUGAAGUUGAGUUGUUCUGAAGUCCAAUGGGGUGAAUGGAUUAGGGUGCCCCUCUCGCAGGGGAGAGCAGGGAGCUGCCUCGGGAAAGGGGGCCACUGGUGAAGCUAUACUACCCUGUAACAACAUCAUACAGUGGUAAGUGUGGAUGGCUACACUGAUACGGAUGCGUGGGUGAUUAGGAUUAGUUUCCUAGCUAAUAUUCCCCACCAAUUUAAUCCACGCAUGCAUGUGCUGUGCGCACGCCCGCUUUCGCUCCAGGAGGUCAUCAUGAUGUCAAGCGUUCACAUACAUCAGCGCAUCCUUCAACAACAGCGCACGCAACCUACUUCCAUGCAGGUCUUGCAGGCGAAGGACAGUUGCGACCCUUUGGCACAGGCGAUGCAGUCACGGUACUUAGUGACGUUGGUUCCGACAAGAGAGGGGUCCAGGCAAUAAUCCGUGCAUGCGGCUGCGUGGGAGGAGGCGCCGGGUAGAUGAGAAUAUUUGGACCGCGAAAUAUUGUUUGGUUAAUUGCAUGUCAAAUGGGCGAACAACAGAAUUGGCUAUGCGGGGAUGGAGGCAGGAAAGAUUGCAGAAAUAAUGUGCGUGUCCAUCAGCAAAGAAGAUCAACGGCCGGUAUGUAAUGCUUACGUAGAUAACAAUCCAAACAAUGUGUGGCUGUGGCUGCGGCUUGUUGGCAUUCGCAAUAAUUAACACAUGGCAUGAACUAAGGACGCAGUCUCCAUAUCAACAUGCUGCUGCUAUCCAACCCCAUCAGUAGUUUGGCGAGCGACCGAGUUGAGCACAGUAUGUCAAGCCGUUUCUAAUCGACAAAUGUACGAUCUCUGUGGAAUAGAUGUGACAUACAUGGUGUUGUAGUAGCCGGUACACAGUACGGCACCAUGAACAACUACAAAUACGCGCUAAGUGCUAACACCAGCAUCUCGAGAGGCCUUUUCAGCGGCCAGCUACUACAGCUGUCUCACCUCCCGAUACAUACGGAACGCAUUCCGUAAGGCAGGCUUUCUGCAUGACUUUAUUGGGUGCUUUACCGCAUUGGUAGCAAGGUGAGGAGAACCACGUCGUCGACACGCACAGGCGGCAGGCGUCUGGUUCCAGCGUAGGAUAUUCGGUGUUGUUAUAACAUUUCUGGCAGGCAGAAUCCUUAUUGGAACAAUUGGCGGCUGGGCGGGAGGAAGACAGGCGUGGGUUCGGGGAGGGGGCCACAAUGACACACGAGCACGCGAGCAAUGGGAAUAGUCAGCGAUUUGGCUCAUGUAGCUUGCUUGCGCAGCGGUCUUGAGAGCAGGUUAUGAGGUCGCGCUUUAAAUGUUGUACCAUGAUCACAAGAUGCAUGCCGGAUGCACGGUAAGUAGGGUUAUGGACGGGUUAUGGCCGGCAAGGAGUGAGGAAGGUAACAGCCAGGGAGGAACAGCUAGCUGUUUCGGCACACGGGUAUGCCGACUGGAAUGCUAAUGGUGCUGAUCAUGGGAAGAAAGCCGGUAGAUACGCAGUCACGCAUUGCAGGGUAGAGUAAUGUAAGAGUCAUCUUGUUUGUCUGCUGCUGGACGGCUUUAUCCAAGCAUUUGCACGGGUGUAGGGUACUCAAAUCAACAAAAGGGCGGAAGACGAUGGACAAAAGCUAGGCUACUAAGCUGUAAGCAUAUUAUUGCAGGUGUAUGUACCUACCGCAAUUCCUGCACUUCGACAUUUGAGGGUGCAAACCAACAAUCAAGUAACGGUGAGUGCACAUGGUUUAAUUUAUUCCUGAUCAGGAAUAAAUUAAAGCUCAUGAGCUCGCUCGCGUUGGCCGCCUCUGCCUAAACUAGUAACCUUGAAGCACGUCCUCACCCCUGGUUUUGUAUACGUGGUCGAGGUUUCCACGAAACAACAACCCACUUACCUACUGCCGGCGCCAUCAGGGCGGGAACCGGUUUCGAUGACGGGAAUCGUGGUGUGGGCACUGGGCUGCGUGGCGGCGGAGACAAACUACGUGGUGAAGGGGAUGGCCUAGGAGGCGGCAUCCUAGAGGUUGCUGACGGGCUGGGGGGACGCGGUGAAGGGGUAGGCGGCGGUGGCUGGACUUCCAGGGUGCUUAGGGAAGGGCACUCUGAGGGUGAGGUCAAGAAGCGGCAGAGGUGCACCCUCAGGGUGUCCGUACCGACCCAGGAGCCCCCAUACACGACCAACUGAUAGGCGCCCAUUGCCAACUGCGACAUGGGAUCGACGGUGUUGAUGAACUGGAUUUUGCGGUCGCUGUUUGUGAAGGUCGCGGGGUAGCCAUUGUCCUGCAGGAAUGUAUGUCGAUGGUACAGUUAAGGAUAAAAUCCAAGCACGCUUAUUGAACGCCUAAACAGUAAUAAAGCAAUAGCAGAUCUGUUAACCCCUGGAACCAUGCUCUCUUAAGGGAGUUAUGUACAUUACGGAGGCAUGGAAGCCCUCACCAUGGUUGCAUUUACUUCGUGGAUGUUGACCUUGGAUGCAUAUAUGGUGUUGCUUAGGCCGGAAUCAACAUUCUUGGCAACACGGACGGCGAUGUAAAGGUUUCGACCCAUUAAUGUAUUGUUGUAGACAGGUAGCCAAUCGGGAGUCACCCGCAGGUAGUUGUUGUUGCCAGUCAGGUAGGUGGCAGGCAGUGUAAAGGUCCGAGCUGUGCCUGGCAGCAAGGCACUGCUGUUCAGCUGGUCACCUCCGACCGCAGGUGUGGCCCAGCCCAUGCGGGAGAUCUCCGCAGCGUUGGGGCAC
This 3317-nucleotide long non-coding RNA is filed under the name Volvox carteri. Its description in RNAcentral is "long non-coding RNA (VCAR_LNC001203)". The record is from RNAcentral. Lineage: Eukaryota; Viridiplantae; Chlorophyta; Chlorophyceae; Chlamydomonadales; Volvocaceae.